Molecule: ribosomal RNA, 497 nt
Filed under: uncultured bacterium
Lineage: Bacteria
Description: partial 16S ribosomal RNA
Rfam family: Bacterial small subunit ribosomal RNA
Source: RNAcentral
GAUGAACGCUGGCGGCGUGCCUAAUACAUGCAAGUCGAGCGAACAGAUGAGGAGCUUGCUCCUCUGACGUUAGCGGCGGACGGGUGAGUAACACGUGGAUAACCUACCUAUAAGACUGGGAUAACUUCGGGAAACCGGAGCUAAUACCGGAUAAUAUAUUGAACCGCAUGGUUCAAUAGUGAAAGACGGUUUUGCUGUCACUUAUAGAUGGAUCCGCGCCGCAUUAGCUAGUUGGUAAGGUAACGGCUUACCAAGGCAACGAUGCGUAGCCGACCUGAGAGGGUGAUCGGCCACACUGGAACUGAGACACGGUCCAGACUCCUACGGGAGGCAGCAGUAGGGAAUCUUCCGCAAUGGGCGAAAGCUUGACGGAGCAACGCCGCGUGAGUGAUGAAGGUCUUCGAAUCGUAAAACUCUGUUAUUAGGGAAGAACAAAUGUGUAAGUAACUAUGCACGUCUUGACGGUACCUAAUCAGAAAGCCACGGCUAACUACGUG